GUCGAACGAGCCUUCGGGUUAGUGGCGGACGGGUGAGUAACGCGUGAGAAUCUGCCCUCAGGAGGGGGAUAACGGUUGGAAACGACCGCUAAUACCCCAUAUGCCGCGAGGUGAAAUGAAUUUCGCCUGAGGAUGAGCUCGCGUCUGAUUAGCUAGUUGGUGGGGUAAGAGCCUACCAAGGCUUCGAUCAGUAGCUGGUCUGAGAGGAUGAUCAGCCACACUGGGACUGAGACACGGCCCAGACUCCUACGGGAGGCAGCAGUGGGGAAUUUUCCGCAAUGGGCGAAAGCCUGACGGAGCAACGCCGCGUGAGGGAUGAAGGCCUCUGGGCUGUAAACCUCUUUUAUCAAGGAAGAAGAUCUGACGGUACUUGAUGAAUAAGCCACGGCUAAUUCCGUGCCAGCAGCCGCGGUAAUACGGGAGUGGCAAGCGUUAUCCGGAAUUAUUGGGCGUAAAGCGUCCGCAGGCGGUCUUACAAGUCUGUCGUUAAAGCGUGGAGCUUAACUCCAUUUCGGCGAUGGAAACUGUAAGACUAGAGUGUGGUAGGGGCAGAGGGAAUUCCCGGUGUAGCGGUGAAAUGCGUAGAUAUCGGGAAGAACACCAGUGGCGAAGGCGCUCUGCUGGGCCAUAACUGACGCUCAUGGACGAAAGCUAGGGGAGCGAAAGGGAUUAGAUACCCCUGUAGUCCUAGCCGUAAACGAUGAACACUAGGUGUCGGGGGAAUCGACCCCCUCGGUGUCGUAGCCAACGCGUUAAGUGUUCCGCCUGGGGAGUACGCACGCAAGUGUGAAACUAAGCGGAAUUGACGGGGGCCCGCACAAGCGGUGGAGUAUGUGGUUUAAUUCGAUGCAACGCGAAGAACCUUACCAGGGUUUGACAUCCUGCGAAUCCCUUGGAAACUUGGGAGUGCCUUCGGGAGCGCAGUGACAGGUGGUGCAUGGCUGUCGUCAGCUCGUGUCGUGAGAUGUUGGGUUAAGUCCCGCAACGAGCGCAACCCACGUCUUUAGUUGCCAGCAUUUAGUUGGGCACUCUAGAGAGACCGCCGGUGAUAAACCGGAGGAAGGUGUGGAUGACGUCAAGUCAUCAUGCCCCUUACAUCCUGGGCUACACACGUACUACAAUGCUACGGACAAAGGGCAGCAAACUCGCGAGAGCUAGCCAAUCCCAUAAACCGUGGCUCAGUUCAGAUCGUAGGCUGCAACUCGCCUACGUGAAGGAGGAAUCGCUAGUAAUCGCAGGUCAGCAUACUGCGGUGAAUACGUUCCCGGGCCUUGUACACACCGCCCGUCACACCAUGGAAGUUGGCCACGCCCGAAGUCGUUACUCCAACCCUUGUGGAGGAGGAUGCCGAAGGUGGGGCUGAUGACUGGGGUGAAGUCGUAACAAGGUAGCCGUACCGGAAGGUGCGGCUGGAUCACCUCCU
Molecule: ribosomal RNA, 1423 nt
Filed under: Synechococcus sp. MA0607I
Lineage: Bacteria; Bacillati; Cyanobacteriota; Cyanophyceae; Synechococcales; Synechococcaceae
Description: 16S ribosomal RNA
Rfam family: Bacterial small subunit ribosomal RNA
Source: RNAcentral